Molecule: ribosomal RNA, 439 nt
Filed under: uncultured Agromyces sp.
Lineage: Bacteria; Bacillati; Actinomycetota; Actinomycetes; Micrococcales; Microbacteriaceae
Description: bacterial SSU rRNA
Rfam family: Bacterial small subunit ribosomal RNA
Source: RNAcentral
CCUACGGGGGGCAGCAGUGGGGAAUAUUGCACAAUGGGCGCAAGCCUGAUGCAGCAACGCCGCGUGCGGGAUGACGGCCUUCGGGUUGUAAACCGCUUUUAGUAGGGAAGAAGGGCUUCGGCUUGACGGUACCUGCAGAAAAAGGACCGGCUAACUACGUGCCAGCAGCCGCGGUAAUACGUAGGGUCCGAGCGUUGUCCGGAAUUAUUGGGCGUAAAGAGCUCGUAGGCGGUUUGUCGCGUCUGCUGUGAAAACUAGAGGCUCAACCUCUAGCCUGCAGUGGGUACGGGCAGACUUGAGUGGUGUAGGGGAGACUGGAAUUCCUGGUGUAGCGGUGGAAUGCGCAGAUAUCAGGAGGAACACCGAUGGCGAAGGCAGGUCUCUGGGCACUUACUGACGCUGAGGAGCGAAAGCGUGGGGAGCGAACAGGAUUAGAUAC